GGUCUUUUGUUUAUAUAAAAGAUUUGGCCUGCCCAAUGAUUUAUUUAAUGGCUGCAGUAUUUUGACUGUACAAAGGUAGCAUAAUCAUUUGUCUUUUAAUUGAAGUCUGGAAUGAAAGGUUGGAUGAAAAAUUUACUUUCUUUGUUUUAUAGAAAAAAAUUAAUUUUUAAUUUAAAAAGAUUAAAUGUAAUUAAAGGACGAGAAGACCCUAUAGAACUUUAUUUUUUUUAAAUAUAUAUAAUUUUGUUUAUAAUUUUUAUAUAUUUAUGUAAAAAUUUUACUGGGGUGGUAGAAAAAAUUUAUUAACUUUUUUUUGUUAUUUCAUUUAUAUAUGAUUUUGUGAUCCUUUACUAUGGAAAAAAGAUUUAGUUACCUUAGGGAUAACAGCGUUAUUAUUUUAGAGAGCUCUAAUCGAUAGAAUAGUUUGCGACCUCGAUGUUGGAUUAAAAUAAGUUUCAGGAGUAGAAAAUUGAUUAACUAGGUCUGUUCGACCUUUAAAUUUUUACA
Molecule: ribosomal RNA, 507 nt
Filed under: Chlamydatus becki
Lineage: Eukaryota; Metazoa; Arthropoda; Insecta; Hemiptera; Miridae
Description: partial 16S ribosomal RNA
Rfam family: Bacterial large subunit ribosomal RNA (bases 380-507)
Source: RNAcentral